UGGGGAAUUUUGGACAAUGGGCGCAAGCCUGAUCCAGCCAUGCCGCGCGCGGGAAGAAGGCCUUCGGGUUGUAAACCGCUUUUGUCAGGGAAGAAAUCUUCUGAGUUAAUACCUCGGGAGGAUGACGGUACCUGAAGAAUAAGCACCGGCUAACUACGUGCCAGCAGCCGCGGUAAUACGUAGGGUGCAAGCGUUAAUCGGAAUUACUGGGCGUAAAGCGUGCGCAGGCGGUUUUGUAAGACAGAGGUGAAAUCCCCGGGCUCAACCUGGGAACUGCCUUUGUGACUGCAAGGCUUGAGUGCGGCAGAGGGGGAUGGAAUUCCGCGUGUAGCAGUGAAAUGCGUAGAUAUGCGGAGGAACACCGAUGGCGAAGGCAAUCCCCUGGGCCUGCACUGACGCUCAUGCACGAAAGCGUGGGGAGCAAACAGGAUUAGAUACCCUGGUAGUCCACGCCCUAAACGAUGUCAACUGGUUGUUGGGAAGGUUCCUUCUCAGUAACGUAGCUAACGCGUGAAGUUGACCGCCUGGGGAGUACGGCCGCAAGGUUGAAACUUAAAUGAAUUGACGGGGUCAUAGCUGUUUCCUG
RNAcentral lists this ribosomal RNA (586 nucleotides) under uncultured bacterium. RNAcentral describes it as "partial 16S ribosomal RNA". It matches the Rfam family "Bacterial small subunit ribosomal RNA", at positions 355 to 1376 of the family's 1533-position model. The record is from RNAcentral.